UUUUUUUUUAGAGAUGGAUAGCACGCUACCCGCUUCGUUUAUUUUAUUUAGAAAUAAACUUAAAUAAAAAUAUAAAUCAACUAGAAUUCGAACUUGGAUCUCAGGUAUUAACCACCGAGCCCUUUGCCACUUGCUCUAGGAACGGUCAGUAAAUUGGAUAUUAUUCAAAUCACAAAAAUGUGUGAUAUUUCUUUUCUUUCUUUCUUUUUUUUGUUAAAUUGUUCUAUACUCACAUAACAACGUAUCAAUA
Molecule: long non-coding RNA, 250 nt
Filed under: Ananas comosus (pineapple)
Lineage: Eukaryota; Viridiplantae; Streptophyta; Magnoliopsida; Poales; Bromeliaceae
Description: long non-coding RNA (ACOM_LNC012752)
Source: RNAcentral